RNAcentral lists this unclassified non-coding RNA (405 nucleotides) under plant metagenome. Its description in RNAcentral is "partial contains 5.8S ribosomal RNA, internal transcribed spacer 2, and large subunit ribosomal RNA". It matches the Rfam family "Bacterial small subunit ribosomal RNA", at positions 358 to 777 of the family's 1533-position model. The record is from RNAcentral.
GGGAUAUUGCACAAUGGGGGAAACCCUGAUGCAGCAACGCCGCGUGAAGGAUGAAGGUCUUCGGAUUGUAAACUUUUGUCCUAUGGGAAGAAGAAAGUGACGGUACCAUAGGAGGAAGCUCCGGCUAACUACGUGCCAGCAGCCGCGGUAAUACGUAGGGAGCAAGCGUUGUCCGGAUUUACUGGGUGUAAAGGGUGCGUAGGCGGAAGAGCAAGUCAGUAGUGAAAUCUGGGGGCUUAACCCCCAAACUGCUAUUGAAACUGUUCUUCUUGAGUGGAGUAGAGGUAGGCGGAAUUCCCGGUGUAGCGGUGAAAUGCGUAGAGAUCGGGAGGAACACCAGUGGCGAAGGCGGCCUACUGGGCUCUAACUGACGCUGAGGCACGAAAGUGUGGGUAGCAAACAGGA